UACUUAUUUCUGAGACACACUCUCAGACUUGUCUAUCCUGGAGCUGACUAUGUAGACCAGGCUGGCCUGGAACUCAGAGAUCCAUCCCCCUGUACCUCCCAAAUGCUGAGAUUAAAAAGGCACAUGCCACCAUGCCUGGCUAUCCUAAUUUUCUUAAACCUAAGAAUAAUUAUACUUCUGUGUUGGAAUAUGUAAGAAUUCAUACCUACCUUUUCUACUGCUCUGAGGUAACAUAUAUUAACAAGUAAGUAUAACUGGCUUUCGCAUGUGUAAGGUAACACGAGGCUCACAGAUCUGUAUAUAUCAUUUAUUUUGAAGGAUGGGGGGUGAAAAUGCUGGUCCUGAGCUAUUCACAAUAGAGAGCAAACACCAAGGCCAAUACCACGUAAGACUCUGUUUCAUGUUUAGCUUCUACCCAGUUGUCCCAUGCCACAUCCCAGAUCCAUCUGCUGGCAAUCUGUGAGACAAAAUUGAAAAGACUCAGAUGGAAUGUGUUAAGUAACUUAAAUUACAGUAGCUUGGCUUUUUAAAAUAGUGUGUGUCAGUUUCUCAGAAAGUUUUAUUUAAGAAAUAAUUUGUUAGGCUGAGUCGGGUAACUUAAGUGAUAACACACCAGCUCAAAUUCCUGUGUUCCAUCCUAGCACUACAUAGAGAUAGCUCAGCAGUUAAGAGUGUGCAGUGUUUCCACAAGACACAAUUCCCUGUCUCGAAAAACAAACAAAACAAAACAAAACAAAACAAAACAAAACAAAACAAAAAAAAAAAAAAAAAAA
This 773-nucleotide unclassified non-coding RNA is filed under the name Mus musculus (house mouse). RNAcentral describes it as "A-Tcte3-b antisense RNA". Lineage: Eukaryota; Metazoa; Chordata; Mammalia; Rodentia; Muridae. The record is from RNAcentral.